RNAcentral lists this transfer RNA (59 nucleotides) under Caudoviricetes sp. RNAcentral's name for it is "tRNA-Leu". Lineage: Duplodnaviria; Heunggongvirae; Uroviricota; Caudoviricetes. The record is from RNAcentral.
GGAUGAGCGCAUCCAUGGUAAGGAUGAGGUCUCGGGUUCAAGCCCCGAUCGUGGCUCCA